GACGAACGCUGGCGGCGUGCCUAAUACAUGCAAGUAGAACGCUGAAGGAGGAGCUUGCUUCUCUGGAUGAGUUGCGAACGGGUGAGUAACGCGUAGGUAACCUGCCUGGUAGCGGGGGAUAACUAUUGGAAACGAUAGCUAAUACCGCAUAAGAGUAGAUGUUGCAUGACAUUUGCUUCAAAGUUGCAAUUGCAUCACUACCAGAUGGCCCUGCUUUGUAUUAGCUAGUUGGUGGGGUAACGGCUCACCAAGGCGACGAUACAUAGCCGACCUGAGAGGGGGAUCGGCCACACUGGGACUGAGACACGGCCCAGACUCCUACGGGAGGCAGCAGUAGGGAAUCUUCGGCAAUGGACGGAAGUCUGACCGAGCAACGCCGCGUGAGUGAAGAAGGGUUUCGGAUCGUAAAGCUCUGUUGUAAGAGAAGAACGAGUGUGAGAGUGGAAAGUUCACACUGUGACGGUAUCUUACCAGAAAGGGACGGCUAACUACGUG
This 495-nucleotide ribosomal RNA is filed under the name uncultured bacterium. RNAcentral describes it as "partial 16S ribosomal RNA". It matches the Rfam family "Bacterial small subunit ribosomal RNA", at positions 28 to 507 of the family's 1533-position model. The record is from RNAcentral.